GGGGGGAGCAAGCGUUGUUCGGAUUUACUGGGCGUAAAGGGCGCGUAGGCGGCGUAACAAGUCACUUGUGAAAUCUCCGGGCUUAACCCGGAGCGGCCAAGUGAUACUGUUGUGCUAGAGUGCGGAAGGGGCUACUGGAAUUCUCGGUGUAGCGGUGAAAUGCGUAGAUAUCGAGAGGAACACCUGCGGCGAAGGCGGGUAGCUGGGCCGACACUGACGCUGAGGCGCGAAAGCCAGGGGAGCGAACGGGAUUAGAUACCCCGGUAGUCCUGGCCUUAAACGAUGGAUACUUGGUGUCCGGGGUUACAUAGUCCCCGGGUGCCGGCGCUAACGCAUUAAGUAUCCCGCCUGGGGAGUACGGUCGCAAGACUG
Molecule: ribosomal RNA, 372 nt
Filed under: uncultured bacterium
Lineage: Bacteria
Also listed under: 1 other name
Description: bacterial SSU rRNA
Rfam family: Bacterial small subunit ribosomal RNA
Source: RNAcentral